RNAcentral lists this unclassified non-coding RNA (219 nucleotides) under soil metagenome. RNAcentral's name for it is "partial contains 5.8S ribosomal RNA, internal transcribed spacer 2, and large subunit ribosomal RNA". The record is from RNAcentral.
AACGGUCUAUACCUGCGGUACCUGCGGAAGGAUCAUUACUGAGUUCAUGCCCAACCGGGUAGACCUCCCACCCUGUGUAUACAUACGCUGUUGCUUUGGCGGGCCGCCUCUCCGGCUACCGGCUCCGGCUGGUACGUGCCCGCCAGAGGACCCCAAACUCUGAAUGUGAGUGUCGUCUGAGUACUAUCUAAUAGUUAAAACUUUUAACAAUGGAUCUCU